This 349-nucleotide ribosomal RNA is filed under the name uncultured bacterium. RNAcentral's name for it is "bacterial SSU rRNA". It matches the Rfam family "Bacterial small subunit ribosomal RNA", at positions 143 to 507 of the family's 1533-position model. The record is from RNAcentral.
ACAACAGUUGGAAACGACUGCUAAUACCGNAUAAGCGGCACAGCUUCGCAUGAAGCAGUGUGAAAAACUCCGGUGGUACAAGAUGGACCCGCGUCUGAUUAGCUGGUUGGUGAGGUAAACGGGCCCACCAAGGCGACGAUCAGUAGCCGGCCUGAGAGGGUGAACGGCCACAUUGGGACUGAGACACGGCCCAAACUCCUACGGGAGGCAGCAGUGGGGAAUAUUGCACAAUGGGGGAAACCCUGAUGCAGCAACGCCGCGUGAGUGAAGAAGUAUUUCGGUAUGUAAAGCUCUAUCAGCAGGAAAGAAAAUGACGGUACCUGACUAAGAAGCCCCGGCUAACUACGUG